UUAUAGCGCCACGCAAUUAAUGCAGAUUCCUGAUACGCGAUGUUCCAGUUCUACCAACCGAGUGUAGACAUGAUUAAUGGCGAACUUCAUAGCCAGGUUGCUAUUAAUUCUCUCUUAUUAACCUGUUUGUUUGUUUGCGGAAGUACAUACAGUAAGUACUUUCUUCGCGAUCGAUAUUUAAAAAACUUUGAAUUCAACGCUAACAAAUUUUUUAAUGUAGAUUUUUGUUUUCAUUUAAAGUCGCACUCAACUAUCGGUGUUGUUAGCGAUUACUUUUUGGUUAAAACAAUGCACAUGUUUCCUGCUAAAGGCUCUAGUACUCUAAGAUCCAGUGACUUUUACUAUCGACUCAAAGACACUGGUAGAUACUGCAAUUAUCUCGGUACUUACCAUAGAAAUUGCACGCAGAAGGAAUAACGAUAAAUUUUGUGAACGAUCGAUGUAUUAUCUACACGAGUUUACUUCUAAGAUUUAGGAUGACCACGAUGAACAUUUCAGAAGCAAGGUGCAAGAAAAUGCACGAUCGAUAUUGCUAUGCAUAUUGGCAGAAACUUUCUCUAAAGAAGUUUCUUUUUCAAGGUUAAUGACUCAACUGGGAAAGAAGGGAAUCACGAUAAUCGUUCGAGCCGAAGUUGUUAUUACAGGCAACAAUGGAGUUUCAAUUGCGUUAUCGUGGUACGCGAUUGUACGUAACACUCGUAUAGAAUUGCAGUUCUAUUGUAUUGCGUAUUGUAUCGCAAUGUACCAGGUCACGAAUUCAAACUAUCUAGUAUUGCACAGCGGUCAUCCACCGUUUAUCCUGUCCGCAGGUUUAAGGCCGGAGUGCAUGAAGCGUAUUGCGUUAUUCCUAGUUAUGAUUUUAAGAAAAUUUGCGCAUACCAUUCAUGCGAACAUCUCUAUAUCUUCGAUCUAUUCAUCUUCCUAUUACGCAACGAGUAAGGCUUUGUUACGAAAUUGUUAUGCUUUGCUUAUUAAACAAAGUCGCGACAAUUACCGAAAGAAAGUAACCUACGAAACAUCGUCCAUACUAUCGCGAUAUUUGUUACGAUAAAAUUCAAAUCCUAAUUUAUGUGAUCUUUUCGUUCAAUUUUCACCAAUGCAUCGAUAUUUGACAGGGAGGAUCAACUGAAAAUUUUGCCGGUCGUAGAAAAAAUACGACAAAGAAUACGAAUUAAGCGAGAAAGACUACGGUGCCCAGUGAAUCGUGACAGUCAUACAUCGUCGACUCUGUGGAUUACAUAAAUACCACCUACACAUUCCACUGGUAUUACGUUGUCAAAAUCAAACGGGACCUCUCAGUGGUUUCUUGAACAAACUUCGAAGUCCAUGGCAGCCCAUAAAUCAGCCGGUAACAAUAUACUUCGAAGAAUCCGAAGAAGCCCUUUGCAGUGCAGUAAAAAUUCAACCGGACAACCUGGAAUCCCAUAAAUCUCCCACGACGCAUAUGUCCACGAGGACGUUCGCAUUUACUCUGUGUGGUUUAUCCAUGAAAGGAUUGCGCGGAUCUCGGCAGCGCGCCCUCUCGGCCGGAACGCGAAAUAGGAUCGUACACUCAAAUUCGUCGCUUCAAAGGGGUACUUCUUGCGCGGGUAUUUUCGGAAAAAACAUACCUUGUU
Long non-coding RNA from Bombus pascuorum, 1616 nucleotides. RefSeq lists it as uncharacterized. Lineage: Eukaryota; Metazoa; Arthropoda; Insecta; Hymenoptera; Apidae. The record is from RefSeq and is a predicted model, not a curated record. The transcript has 3 exons.